Molecule: non-coding RNA, 73 nt
Organism: Odobenus rosmarus divergens (Pacific walrus)
Lineage: Eukaryota; Metazoa; Chordata; Mammalia; Carnivora; Odobenidae
Source: the annotation of a RefSeq genome assembly
ACCUGGCUGGCUCGGUUGGUAGAGCAUGAGACUCUUGAUCUCAGGGUCAUGGGUUCGAGCCCCACACUGGGUA